Molecule: non-coding RNA, 104 nt
Organism: Schistosoma haematobium
Lineage: Eukaryota; Metazoa; Platyhelminthes; Trematoda; Strigeidida; Schistosomatidae
Source: Rfam
UUAUCUUCGGCGGUACAUAUACUAAAAUUGGAACGAUACAGAGAAGAUUAACAUGGCCCCUGCACAAGGAUGACACGCAAAACCGUGAAGUGUUUCAUAUUUUC